This 133-nucleotide microRNA precursor is filed under the name Medicago truncatula (barrel medic). RNAcentral describes it as "miR5257 stem-loop (mtr-MIR5257)". Lineage: Eukaryota; Viridiplantae; Streptophyta; Magnoliopsida; Fabales; Fabaceae. The record is from miRBase by way of RNAcentral.
AUCAUCAAGAACAAGUAGAACCUUUUUUCUGCAUAAAGAGUUUUGUAUUGUUUUUUUCCCAUCAUACAAAUCAUGAAAAUCAUUCCUACUUAUACUCAGAUGAGAAAGAAGUUGUCUUUGUAAGUGAACUAAA